This 338-nucleotide ribosomal RNA is filed under the name Staphylococcus aureus. RNAcentral describes it as "partial 23S ribosomal RNA". It matches the Rfam family "Bacterial large subunit ribosomal RNA", at positions 328 to 669 of the family's 2925-position model. The record is from RNAcentral. Lineage: Bacteria; Bacillati; Bacillota; Bacilli; Caryophanales; Staphylococcaceae.
AUUAGACGAAUCAUCUGGAAAGAUGAAUCAAAGAAGGUAAUAAUCCUGUAGUCGAAAAUGUUGUCUCUCUUGAGUGGAUCCUGAGUACGACGGAGCACGUGAAAUUCCGUCGGAAUCUGGGAGGACCAUCUCCUAAGGCUAAAUACUCUCUAGUGACCGAUAGUGAACCAGUACCGUGAGGGAAAGGUGAAAAGCACCCCGGAAGGGGAGUGAAAUAGAACCUGAAACCGUGUGCUUACAAGUAGUCAGAGCCCGUUAAUGGGUGAUGGCGUGCCUUUUGUAGAAUGAACCGGCGAGUUACGAUUUGAUGCAAGGUUAAGCAGUAAAUGUGGAGCCGU